GACAGAAAUCCACGUCCCCGGGCGCGGAAGAAGCUCCGAGGGAUGCCGACCCUCCCCACCACGCAGCUCCCCCUCUGCUACCCAAGGCCACGCUCGCAAUUUGGGUUCUUUAAUUUAUUUUUUUUUUUCCCUUUUGCUAGGAUCUAAAUUUGGAGCGGGUUCUUCCCCUGCUCUGAACAGCUCCCGGAGCCUGGCUGGGGGGAGAGAGAGAGAGGCAUCAGAUGACAUGACAAAAUAAGUCAUGUCUCUCAUCAUUUCAAUGCCACCCCCUCUCUCUCGGCCUCUGCCUUCCAUUUUAAUCACUGACAGCCCUUCAAGUAUUAUGGAUAUAUAUAAUCUUUUUAAUAUCAUUGACAUUUUUCACGAUGGAAAACAUCUCAGGGGUGCUGAGACAUUCUGGGGGGGGGGAGGGGGGUUGUGCCUUCCUGCUGCUGCUUCCACCAGCCACACAAAGUGCUGAGCCCCAUCUUGCCCCAGGGUCCUGCCUUAGGUCUGGGGGAGGCCGUGUGCCUCUGGGGGCUUUGCAGAUCACAGCAGCCUGACAUUCCCAACAGGCUCUGGCCGUGCAGGCUGAAUAAGCAUCCAGUCCCACUCCCAGCUGCAGUGUGGGAAAAGGGCAUAUCCAGCAUCCAACCCCUCUGCAGGUCAGCCCAGAGAACAUCCCAGCUCGGGAAGUGACAGGCAUUCUUCAUGGCAGCCCAAGCUCCAAGCUUUCCCCUUCCUUAUUCCCAACCUCCUGCUUCACUGUGUCAGAUGGUAAGGCAGACAGUUUGCCUUUCUGCAGGCAGGGAUUUUUUUAUGAGCAAAGUGAACCUCUCCAUGGGGAAAACACCCCUGGAAGUGUUUUUGGAGCUGUACAAAUGUGGAGUUUCUUUGCUGGGGGACCCAAAAUCCCUCCAUGGGUAUAGGACCCACUGCUUGCCCUCAGCAGAGCCUGGCUGCUCACCCAGACCCCCUCUGCCAUUGGAAAUGUACUGUCAUCUUCUGCUUGCAGCAUAGUCCUGCAAUUCCCCCUCUUCCCGUUCUCUCUGGUGGUGAUGGUGUCUUCAGGCCCCACUCACAUGAUGGGUUUGGAAUGCAACUCCCAAGGCCAGGAAGGUUGCUCACCUUGGUUAUUUAGCAAACACAACACAAAUUAUUAACACUAAUACAAAUAAUGCCCACGCUUGGGAGAGGAGAAGGAAUGAUUUCCUUGCCUGGCUGCAAGUAUUCAGCCUUACAGUAUCCUGCAGAGUGCAGGGCUGACAGCCCUGAGUCUCCUUACUAAGGACAGAGCCCAUAUCUCACACUAGGCCUGUAAAUAAGAGGUGUGUGUUUCUAAAGCUACUUUGUGCAAGCCACCUCUAAUUCCACUGCAGUUCCUGUUCUGUUACUUCCACAAAUCAAUGCAAAAAAAAAAAAAAAAAAAAAAAAGGCAGCUGGCUCACAAAAAGCUGCAACAGCCAGAGAGAGAGUAGAAUACCACAGUUGUUGGCCCAGCACAUCCCUUCCUGAAUGCUCCUUGUACCUGUUCUCUGAGGACAGUCUUGUCCAAGGCUGGAAGAGGCACUGGCAAUAAUUAUGACAAAAAUUACAACAAGAAAUUAGACUAUUCACAGGUUUGUGAAUAGUCUAAUUCACAAUUAGACUGCCCUCUGCCCACCUGCCCUCUGCUACCAGUCUCCCCCCUGGAAGGGAAGAUGCCAGCACAGGACAUUCUUCCAUUGUACGUGACUGAUGUCAAACUUUCAUCUACCCGUGUUGUAUUAACAGAUUUUCCUGUGGGUAGAUGAACACAUGGAGCCUGGUUUCAAUAGGACUGAAGAUAUGGAUCCAUGGAGACAUGGAUGGGCUUUGCCAUCCUUUAAGCCCACAGAAGGCAGCUGCUGUGCUAAAACCACCAUUUACCUGUUUCCUCUGGAACAGCUUCUACAUAGGUGUCCUCCUUAGUCAAACCAAGCAGGGAUCUCAGCCUCAGAGAACAACUCACCAAGUCAUCAAUUGCUCUACGCCACAGCUGGAGGCUGAGAAAAUGGUCAAGAUCAGAAGGGAGAUGGUGCAGCAACUGCCACCUUGUUUGACCCCGUGCCCAGAAGUGAAGGCACCUUAUGGCUGACAGCUCUCCUGUGCAACUAAACCAACAAAACAGCACCCACUGUCUAAACAUCUGUGCAGGGGGAUGCUAAACUGCUUUCCUCAUAUUAGAGACCUCCAAGGUCUCAAUGGUUUGCAAAUCAGCAGGCUCCCAGGAACCCAUAAAUAUUACUGUGAAACUAGGUCUGCUCCUCAACAUGACACAUGUUGUUAUAUCAA
This is a non-coding RNA of Taeniopygia guttata (zebra finch), 2292 nucleotides long. NCBI's taxonomy places the organism in Eukaryota, Metazoa, Chordata, Aves, Passeriformes, Estrildidae. The record is from RefSeq and is a predicted model, not a curated record.